GGAAUACCUUCCAGAUAAAAACUCUAAAUUGGUUUUUGGGCACUUUCAUCUUUCCCACUCCCUCAUGAGCUGUUUUCCUGCUAGAAGAGGAGAGGUCAACUUCUUCCCAGUGCUUGGCAUGCUGCUGUUGGUGCUCCUUUUGCCACCAAGCUGUCCCGCUCAGCCACCGUUCUUGGAGCACCAAAGGCACAUAGAACUCAUUCUUUAAACUUCAGUCUGGAUCCAACCUCACUGCUGACAGUCUGGCCCUUCCCUUGACAUGGCUUUGCACUGAUGGCUACUGAUGCUGAAGGCUGUGAUAAAAUUCAUUCUGAGGAUGGCUGAGGAUGAAGAGUUAGCCCAACAUGAAAUAUUUUGCAAAACCUAAUAACUUCUACUUAAUUCUUCUUUCUUGUCCUUAGAAUUAUGUCCUAUUAUAUAACAUACAUAUUCUAAAACAUUUGGUUUUAUUCAUCUCACGUUCUUAAUUUGAAAAGUUAAUCCCAGGUCUAGAGCAUUCUCUAAUGACCAUUGUUCCUUGAAGACAUGGUCUGGCUAACUUAACUACCUGGUUCUUCGAUUCUUUAAGGUCACUGACAUAACUAUAUGAGCAACUCUCAUCUGCAUGCUAAGCUCUUUGACUUUCACCCUC
Molecule: long non-coding RNA, 631 nt
Filed under: Numida meleagris (helmeted guineafowl)
Lineage: Eukaryota; Metazoa; Chordata; Aves; Galliformes; Numididae
Description: lncRNA (ENSNMEG00000007460.1)
Source: RNAcentral